This 525-nucleotide ribosomal RNA is filed under the name uncultured bacterium. RNAcentral's name for it is "bacterial SSU rRNA". It matches the Rfam family "Bacterial small subunit ribosomal RNA", at positions 984 to 1509 of the family's 1533-position model. The record is from RNAcentral.
ACAUCCAGAGAAUUUAGCAGAGAUGCUUUAGUGCCUUCGGGAACUCUGAGACAGGUGCUGCAUGGCUGUCGUCAGCUCGUGUUGUGAAAUGUUGGGUUAAGUCCCGCAACGAGCGCAACCCUUAUCCUUUGUUGCCAGCACGUAAUGGUGGGAACUCAAAGGAGACUGCCGGUGAUAAACCGGAGGAAGGUGGGGAUGACGUCAAGUCAUCAUGGCCCUUACGAGUAGGGCUACACACGUGCUACAAUGGCGCAUACAAAGAGAAGCGACCUCGCGAGAGCAAGCGGACCUCAUAAAGUGCGUCGUAGUCCGGAUUGGAGCUGCAACUCGACUCCAUGAAGUCGGAAUCGCUAGUAAUCGUAAAUCAGAAUGUUACGGUGAAUACGUUCCCGGGCCUUGUACACACCGCCCGUCACACCAUGGGAGUGGGUUGCAAAAGAAGUAGAUAGCUUAACCUUCGGGAGGGCGUUUACCACUUUGUGAUUCAUGACUGGGGUGAAGUCGUAACAAGGUAGGCGUAGUGCU